AGAAAUGGAUAAAAAGACGUUGGUGAAGCGGCGCGCGCUAAACCCUGAAGUUCGAUGGAAAAUGACCACAUGUCAAGGAGGGAUGCUGCGGUUGAGAGAGUCUCAGUGUCCAACAGAGAAGACCCGGGACUAUGCUGUAAAAGAGAAAAUUACAAGGAGGCCUGGAUCUGGGAAACUUAAAUAACUAGUGAAUCAGACGGGCCAUGCCAAUCCAUCUUAAGGCAGUCUGAGCUACUAAAAUAAUGAAAUUAAAAAGAGAGAAGAUCUGUCUGCGUCAGUGCUUUAGUGCAGAUGAAGGUGGCCGAACAGAUUUCCCCAUGAAGGAGGUCCAGAAAGUGUACUUCACCAGCAAAUUCAACAAUGUGGACAAGCUAGGAAAACAAGAGGUGUAAUUCAUGUCACAAUUCACACCCCACAUACACUCAGACAUAGGACACAUCCAAGCACCCAAUACUGCCAUAAUUAAAUGCAUAAGGAAUGCUUAUGAAUGAGAUUUUUCAUUAUGUAUGUAUAGAGUUUAUAUAUAGAUUUAUACCACAAUACAUUAUUCAGUUAUAUAAUUGUAUAUAUUACUGUGUAAUAAAAUUAUAUUAUUGUAUAAUUACCAUCGUAAAAUAAA
This is a long non-coding RNA of Trichomycterus rosablanca, 619 nucleotides long. RefSeq lists it as uncharacterized. The record is from RefSeq and is a predicted model, not a curated record. The transcript has 5 exons. NCBI's taxonomy places the organism in Eukaryota, Metazoa, Chordata, Actinopteri, Siluriformes, Trichomycteridae.